RNAcentral lists this long non-coding RNA (576 nucleotides) under Lathyrus oleraceus (garden pea). Its description in RNAcentral is "Pisum sativum (pea) long non-coding RNA (PSAT_LNC032291)". Lineage: Eukaryota; Viridiplantae; Streptophyta; Magnoliopsida; Fabales; Fabaceae. The record is from RNAcentral.
UGACAAUAUUAUUUUAGUUUGAUAUUAUUUUAGUUUAAUAACAGUAAGAAAUCAUGACAGUAUUAUUUUAGUUUGAUAUUAUUUUUUUAUUUUUCAACUUAUUUUAUUGUUGUUGUUGUUGAAUUCAUAAUAAAUAGUGUUUGUAUAUACACUUAUACAAACAAUUUAGAUGAUACUACUAUUUAUGACAACAACAAUAAUAUUUUUGUUUACACACGCCAUGUAGAUGACCUGGAUAUGUUGAACAAGCAUUCAAACACCCUCGAAUAUUACAUUCUUCUGGCCCUACAUUCCAACAACAAUAUUCUUCACAUUUUGGAGGAAAAUUUACUCCUUCUUCUAAAAAAUAAAAUAAAAAUGCCAUUAGAAACAAAAGAGAAAUUUGAUAACAAAUCAUAGACAUAGAAUUAAAACAAAACAUGGUUUCUAGAUCUGAAAAAUAUAAUUCAUUUCAAAAGAUUAUAGGUCUAGUGUCACCUGAUGUUGAUGCUAAGACUACAAGAAUGCAUAGAAUUGCAAAGGUAUAAUGGUGAGUAUUGAUGCGAGUAGUCAUUUUUCUAUGUUAAAGAUAGAUUC